This 1285-nucleotide long non-coding RNA is filed under the name Anas platyrhynchos platyrhynchos (common mallard). RNAcentral describes it as "lncRNA (ENSAPLG00000023264.1)". Lineage: Eukaryota; Metazoa; Chordata; Aves; Anseriformes; Anatidae. The record is from RNAcentral.
AACCUCGACAUCCCCCUCCUUUUGGAGGAGCUGCGGGUUUUGCGGCAGCGCCAGCUCCGCCAGAUGCAGCUCACCCAAGAAAUUUGCCGCCACCUCCUCCUUUUGGGGGCGCCGGGCCCCCCGAAAACCCACCCCCCGCGCCCAAAAAAACCCCAAAACCCUCUCCCAAAACCCAUUUUCCCCUUUUUUCCCCCCAAAACGGAGCAGGCGGCGGUUUUUUUCGCCGCCCCCUACCGCUUGGCGCCGGCCCCGCGUGGCCGAACCCCCGAAUCCGCCCCGUUGCCGGGCGACCCCCCGGGACCCCCCGUGCGACCCCUAAAUAUUUUUGGGGUGAAUUCCGGGGUUUUUAGGCACGGCUGCGGGGGCGAGCGGCCCUACGGCUGCGGCGUUUGUGGCAACCGUUUCGCCACCCGGGGCAACCUCAAAGUUCACCUCCACCGGCACCGCCAAAAGAGCCCCCAAGUGGCCACCCGGGACCCCCAAGUGGCCACCCGGGACCCCCAAGUGGCCCGGGACCCCCAAGUGGCCACCGAGGGGUCGCGGGUUGGGGGCGGAAGAUUUCAGCAACCGGACGCGGCGUCGGGUGGAGGGGGGGAGGUGGAGGAGGUCGGGGGGCUAGCGGUGGCCCACGGGGGGCUACCGGGGGCCAACGGGCAAGUAGGGGGCAAGGGGGGGCAAGCGGGGGGCAACGGGGAGGGGGGGGGCAAUGAUGGCCGAUCGGGGGUCAAUAGUGGUCAAUCGGGGGUCAAUAGUGGUCAAUUGGUGGCCAAUAGUGGUCAAUCGGUGGCCAACGCUCAACUGAUGGCCAAUAGUGGCCCAAAAAUGGCCAAUAGUGGCCCAACGAUGGCCAAUAGUGGCCCAACGGUGGCCAACAGUGGCCCAACGAUGACCAAUAGUGGCCCAACGAUGACCAACAGUAGCCCAAUGAUAGUCAACAGUGGCCCAACGAUGACCAACAGUGGCCAACCGAUGGACAAUAGUGGUCAACUGAUGGCCAACAGUGGCCCAACGAUGGCCAACAAGGUCCAACUGAUGGCCAACGCCCAACCGAUGGACAAUAGUGGCCCAAAAAUGGCCAAUAGUGGCCCAACGAUGGCCAACAAGGUCCAAUUAAUGGCCGACACCCAACUGAUGGCCACUAGUAGCCCAACGAUGACCAACAGUGGCCCAACGAUGACCAACAGUAGCCUAACGGUGGUCAACAAGGUUCAAUUGGUGGCCAACGCUCAACCGAUGGCCAAUAGUGGCCCAAAAAUGGCCAAUAGUAGCCCAACGAUGGCCAACG